RNAcentral lists this long non-coding RNA (1608 nucleotides) under Sus scrofa (pig). RNAcentral describes it as "lncRNA (ENSSSCG00070005804.1)". The record is from RNAcentral. Lineage: Eukaryota; Metazoa; Chordata; Mammalia; Artiodactyla; Suidae.
CCUGAGGUGUUUACAUGCUGCAUAGCGACUGUGAUGUUGCCGUUCUUGAGCUGAGCAUAGAGCCCAGGGCUUAGAGCCUGUGGGCUGCCUGACAGCACGGUUCCUCAUCCCAGGUCAAUAUGGCCUUGUCUGUUUCACAUUAUACGGUCCUCCGUGUUUGUUAUCCAUGAGAUCACUGUGCCCCAGAGGGUGAUGAAAUCUUCAUGUCAUGUAACUUUGGUGCAUGAUGGAGCAGAUAUUUGCAUGGUGGACUGCUUUUCCUAGGACUGUGCUUUCGCUGUUUAGCACCGACCUAGGAUAAGAUCUGAUUGGAAAUGUGACGGGAUGAGAAGACAUGGAUAAAAGGUAGCCCUGGUACCUGGUGUUUAUCUGCUGGGCAGUAAAUGUUGGAUCUGGCCGUCACUUGAGGAGGCACUGGGGAGGAGAGGUGGGGUGAACCAGGCCGGGAGAGUGCUUGCUGUCAGAAAGAUGAUCUCUAGCACGGAAGGUGCAUAUUGACAGAUAAUAUAUAUUGAAAUAUGAUUGUGAUGUGCUUAAUGCUUUUGUGUUCAUUGGUCCCAUACGCCAGCCUGGACUGACAAGUGCCCGUGUAUCAACAAGGGACAGUUGAACAGUGAUAGUGUUUUUUCAGGAAAUAUCUUUCAGUUGUUUUUUUGUUGUUGUUUGUUUGUUUGUUUGAAGAGUGAACAAUUGUAUGUUUGACCCAGUGUUCCCUGACAUUCAGCUGUGAGAUCCCGGAGCUUUUGGACAGAAAAGCUUGUGGCCAAGGCUCAUGGGUGGCUCUGCUGCCCCCAAGUGGUGUGGGAACCUGGGAGAAUCUCCCUAUCUCCAUGAACCACAGUGUCUUCAUCAGGAAGAUAAAGUCCUUCCAAUACUCGAAAUUCCUCUCCUGCUGAGUUUUUUUGUUUUUGUUUUUUCUUUCCCUGCAUGCCUGUGGGUCCGAGAUGCAUGUUGCAUGUGCCCUGGGAACUGCAGCCAAGUCUUGACUUUGGUCCCUUGUCUGUGCUUUUCCUGCAGGAGCCUGAACUGAGUCCACACACUGAACUCACAGACCUGCAGGGGGAGAUGGAAGAAAGAAAAUCAACAGGUUUUGAGGAUGAGAAGAACCCAAGUAAUGGCAGAGGAGGUGCUGUGCAAGAGAGAUUGCUGCAGUGGCAUCCAGGACUGUCAGUGGAAGUGGGGAAUGACAUGACACCACCUUUCGGACACCCAACUGGCAAGAGGUAAAAGAGGAAGGGACAGUCAGCCCACUGUAUACAAUGACAUGCAAGACCUAACUCUCACGUUGGUUCAACCCAAACCAGCGAGAAGCAAUCUAUGGUCAUACUGAGUCUUGGGCCCAGUCUAAACGGUGGAGCUUUGGGAUACAAAUCUCUCAAAUGCAACACAAUGGAAAGAGUUUUUGUUCAGGAGUUAGAAGAGGGAGUAUGUGGGGAUGUUGGGUUUCCUCACUUUGGAGUUCCAUCGUGGCUCAGCAGAAACAAAUCUGUCUAGCAUCCAUGAGGUCACAGGUUCAAUCUCUGGCCUCGCUCAGUGGGUUAAGUAUCUGUCAUUGCUCCAAACUGCACUCUAGGUCACAGAUGCGUUUUGUAUCUGUCUUGCUGUGCC